Long non-coding RNA from Alosa sapidissima (American shad), 749 nucleotides. RefSeq lists it as uncharacterized. The transcript has 2 exons. Lineage: Eukaryota; Metazoa; Chordata; Actinopteri; Clupeiformes; Clupeidae. The record is from RefSeq and is a predicted model, not a curated record.
CGUUAAUAAACCCGUUGCCAUUGACAGCGGUGAUUAUAUACUUUGCCGGUGAUUUAUGUAGAUUUAACAUUGGGCCUUCCCAAUGUUCGGGCCUUUCAUGUGAAUGGAACUUUCUGCAGCACUCUAAAGAGCCGUGCAAUAAAUAUUGAUAAUAGUUGACCACAUCUAACUCACUGUAUUCUUCUGUAUACUCCUUCAUGAUGUCAUUGAAUUAAAGUGGUUUCAACCAAGAUCUUGUUGGAACUCUGACAAGUAAAUCUUUUUUUUUUUUUUUUUUUUUAUGUUUCUAACACCCAUUUGGUGCUCAAGCCUGAUGAGACUAAUGUGGCUCCGUUCAUAGUUAUGGCAAGGAUUCUAGAGCACUCUGCGUGGUGAUCUUGAAGUGUGACCCUUCUAAAAAAUGUACUGUAACGUACGGUACUCGGCCCACUACCCAGGUAAAGGGGACAGGAACGCCCCAUAAUUCAGCUCUUUCAGUUGUAUCUCCACUGCUUACAGAAACCACCCAAGCAGCCUUUUGCAAUCAUGUAGCCCUAUUUAGAGUAACCAAUUGUAUUUUAGGAAUAAAUAAAUCCAUACAAUUUACUAGAAAGGGGAAAAAGAAUUUAUUCACUCUUGUUCAAAGCACAUCGAUAAUAUUUACAAAGCAAAGUGAGGAAACUAGUGAUGUUUUGUAAGUGAUGAAACUCCCAUUUCUGAACAAUCAGCUCAGUUAGCUUAGCAAGUCCAUGUUUUCUCACUGCCUUUAA